This 292-nucleotide ribosomal RNA is filed under the name uncultured bacterium. RNAcentral describes it as "partial 16S ribosomal RNA". It matches the Rfam family "Bacterial small subunit ribosomal RNA", at positions 333 to 640 of the family's 1533-position model. The record is from RNAcentral.
UUUUGCCUACGGGGGGCAGCAGUGGGGAAUCUUGCACAAUGGGCGAAAGCCUGAUGCAGCAACGCCGCGUGAGCGAAGAAGGCCUUUGGGUCGUAAAGCUCUGUCCUAAGGGAAGAAGGAAGUGACGGUACCUUAGGAGGAAGCCCCGGCUAACUACGUGCCAGCAGCCGCGGUAAUACGUAGGGGGCAAGCGUUAUCCGGAAUUAUUGGGCGUAAAGAGUACGUAGGCGGUUCUUUAAGCGCAGGGUUUAAGGCGAUAGCUUAACUAUCGUUCGCCCUGUGAACUGGGGGA